UUUAAUUUAUAGCUGUGUGAUUGACUUUGUUAAUCUCUUGCAUUUGAUUUUUUAUUUGUUUCUUUAUUUAUCUUUUAGAUUAAUUUGUUUUUAAAUUGUAGCAAAUGUUUAUCUUCGUGAUUGUUAAACCUUUUUGUCUUUUGCUCCUAUUUGAUAACCCACUUAUAAUGAAUUAUGGAUGUAAAUUUUUCUAUUUGCUUGUUUCACUUGGUUAAAUUGCUUGGCGUUUGGAAUUACAUAAUCAUUUCUUUUCUUGGCUUAUUUACCUGUUUGUUUAGAUGAUAUUGAGUGAAAUUGCACGUCUGCAUAGUGUUGAAUCAUGUUUAUUUCUUCAAAUUUUGGUUUUAUGUACUUUUCCUUGCUCUCUCUGGAUGGAACUUCACACAACAUGAAGGGAAGAAGCAUCCAAGAAAUUGAAUGUUUAUAUGAUUUGAUGGAACUAGUUUAUAUUAUAAAUGAGUUUAAAAUGAGUUCAAACAAGCUAAACUCGACUUGUUUACACCCCUAAUUUAGAUGUAUGAAGUCUUAUGUCUUGGAAUGAUGUGGAGUGUAGGGGUGAAUAAAUGAGGAACAAUUUGCUAUUUACAUGAAAUGGAAACUGGUAUGCUGGUUCCAAUAGUGGAUUUUGUGUGGCUUUUCGAGGGGGUAUAGAUUUGGAGGAAUUUUUUAUCUGGAUUAGAUAUUUCAGUAUUGUGAUUUAAUGUGUUAACAUUUUCCUAUUUAUUUUUUCCCCUCCCACCUUCUUGUUUUUGGUUUUGUUGUGGUGGAGAGUUACUUCCUUAUCUCCUAUAUUAAUCUUAGUUAUGGCCUUAUGAUCAGCUACUUGCUUAAGCACUCUUGGAUGCCAUAUUAUAUGAUUAAAUCUAUAUAUUUUGUAUUAUUGAUUCAGAUAAUUUUGAUGGAAGCUUUAUUUUUUAGAAUUCUUUUUCUUUCAUUUCCAUUUAUUUAAAUGAAUGCUAAUUAAGGGUUUUUCUCAUUUGUUCUUGCUUCAGUUUAGAUUUCUCUUGCAUAUGAUAUUUUUAAUGCUGAAGGGCAUUGUGUGAAGUUUUCUGGAUCAACUGUAGACUGUUACAAGUGAAUUGCAGUUGCUUUCUUAAAUAGCUUUCAUUUCUGUAGAAUAUCAAGAUAUGUCGAGUGGACCAGCAAGAAGGGUCUCAACCAAAGAUAUACAAGUGGUGCAAAAUCUGAUAGAACGGUGUCUUCAAUUGUACAUGAACCAGAGGGAAGUUGUCGAAACGUUAUUAGCUCAGGCAAAGAUAGAGCCGGGUUUCACUGAACUUGUUUGGCAAAAGCUUGAAGAAGAAAAUCGGGAAUUUUUCAAGGCAUAUUAUUUGAGACUGACGGUGAAGCACCAAAUAAUAGAAUUUAACAAGCUGCUUGAGCAACAGGUGCGAUUGAUGCGUCAGAUAAAUCCAACCGGAGUUGUUUCAAUGCCUACUUCUAAUGGAUCACAUAUGCCACCAAUUCACCAGAAUUCAGCAUGCUAUGCCACAGAGCAUACAGGACCAGCAUUGAAGCCGGAGAACAUGCAUCAUCCAUUUGGUUCCAGUAUGACUAAUGCAUUUACCAAUGGUGGAUCAGCGCUGCACUCAAGUAUGCGCACUGCUGUUGAUAUGUCUGCUCAUACCACUAGAAUUGAUGCCCCUCAAAACAUGCUUUCAACACAAGGCCCAAACAUGGGUUUGAUGCAAGGACUAAAUGGGGGAAUGAUCAAAUCUGAAUCUGGUUAUCCAGGCACUUCCCCUUAUAUGUUCAGUGCUGAUGGCAAUGUCCUGGAAGCACGUCCUUCAAUUCCAGAUGCAUCUGUUGCAUCUUUCAGUAGUGCAGAAUCUAAUUCACAAGCUCUGAAUGAACCACUUUUGGAUGCUGACACUUCUUCAUAUGGAUUUCUGGAUCAAAUUCCUCAAAGUUUCAGUCUCUCUGAUUUGACAGCUCAUUUUGCUCAGAGUUCAGAUAUUUUGGAGAACUAUCCAAGAUCGCCCUUCCUAGCAUCAGACAAUGAUAAUUUCUUGGAUUCUCGUGAGAGAGAACAUCAAGGAGAUAAUAAAAGGUUGGACACUAUAUCAGAAGGUGUGAGUUAUGAUGACUUUGGAAGCGAAUAACCGUAAAAUUUCAGUUGUCCAACUGUGCCCCUUGGCUAGGAGGUUUGUAAAUAGAAUUUUAGAAGGGAAGAAACUUCAGAUGUAGAACUCUAUGGAAGGUAUCGAUUGGUGUGUAAAAUUUUACUGGUUAGAAUUAUAGCAUAUGACAGCUUGACAUUAGGAUUGUUUAGGAUGAAAAGUAUCGAAAUGAUACGAUACAGAGCUCUCUUCUUUCUUCCCCAUCAUGAUUAGGAUGGAAUCAUGAGGUUGGUUGUGGAAAGUGAAACAGAAUUUUGCAUUUUGGUGUGAUGAUAAAGCUGUUCUUGUUGAUAGUUUGUGUUUUAAUAUGGAAAUUCUGCUUAUGUUUACUGAUGAUUGCAUAUUGGAUUCUAAUCUUCUGUAUAUAUAAUUGUAUGUCUGCUGAUACUUGGGAAGACAUUUAUUAUCCAUUAAACUAUCUUUAAAGCUUGCUGGUACUAGUAGUUGACACUUUAAAUUCUGUGGGCAAUUGACCAAAAGAAUUCAAACUUCAUUUCCAUUUUUUUUUUCCCUAAUACAUUUAUUUAUCAACAAUUUGUCAUUAUUCGAUUGAUCCAAAAAAAUAAAAAGAAAAAAAGAAAAAAAUCAAAUAAAAAGAAACCAGCUCCAAUCAAGUCUAGUUUUCCUUGAUGAAACCAUCUGGGGAGUUGCACUUGUAGUAUCCUUGAAUACAAGCACCAAGCAAUCCCUGUCACCAAUCCUUGUUACAGGAUGUUUUGUGAAUUUCACCGAUGAACGAUACCAACGAAAAUGCCAAUUCCACUUAUUUUCAGCACGCCCCGAGUAUUUUCUGUGCCAGCACCAUAAAAAAUUCUGUCCUCUUCGAUUUACCCCUUUAUUUUUUUUUCCAAAUAUGUACUGGAUUUCUUGUACUCAUUUGUCGACUGAUUCUAAGGUUCUGGAUGGGGUGAGGGAAGGAUAUGAUUAAAUAAAGGUUAAGAAGAGAGGGAAUGGUAAGGAUUGCUAUAAAAAAACAAAAAAUUUUCAUGUUUGAAAAGAGUUGGUUAAUGAAAAAGCAAAAGAGCAA
Molecule: unclassified non-coding RNA, 3147 nt
Filed under: Hevea brasiliensis (rubber tree)
Lineage: Eukaryota; Viridiplantae; Streptophyta; Magnoliopsida; Malpighiales; Euphorbiaceae
Source: RNAcentral